GGGAAAUAGGAAAGAGAAGGCGAAUUGAGACAUCCAAAAACAAAACUUCUGACACCAUUGGGGAACAAGCUAGAAAAUGGCGAAUUUAACAGGACACAAUACAUGAAUCAACAUUUGUAUGUACAAUUCUUGUAUGAUCGUUAAGUUGGCUGGAUCCUUUUGAGCCGCAUGUAUUCCAAAAACUGGGAAGGUAGUUCUGCUAAAAGUGCUUGAAGGACCGAGUCUCCACUUUGUACAUCCCGGAAGGGAACAAAUUGGACUAUGUCACGCACUGCAACACGCCCAUGUGUUGAUUCAAGUCUCUGUUUGUCAGCAUCUAAAAUCUCCAUUUCCUUGAAAUCAGCUCCUCCAACCCCAACAAUAAGAACUGACAAUGGCAAAUCCGCAGCAUGAACAAGGGCAUCCAUUGUUUCUUGGAGAUCUGUUAUCACUCCGUCCGUGAUUAUUAACAAAACGAAGUACUUCCGCUCGCGCUUCAUCAAAGACUGAUUUGCUAUAUCUGCAGCUGACGUAACAACUGGUCCAAAUAUAGUUGGUCCUGCAAGUGAAACAUUAAAAAGGGCACUCAUGUAUGCCGUCAUGAUACCCUGGAUUCCUUCCA
This 601-nucleotide unclassified non-coding RNA is filed under the name Hevea brasiliensis (rubber tree). Lineage: Eukaryota; Viridiplantae; Streptophyta; Magnoliopsida; Malpighiales; Euphorbiaceae. The record is from RNAcentral.